Molecule: unclassified non-coding RNA, 192 nt
Filed under: uncultured Glomeraceae
Lineage: Eukaryota; Fungi; Glomeromycota; Glomeromycetes; Glomerales; Glomeraceae
Description: sequence contains ITS2
Source: RNAcentral
UUAAAUAAAAAUCGGUGUUGUUGCUGCCUUUCGUGGUGACGCGUCGGAAUUGAGUCGUCUUAUCCUUCGGCUAAGUGACUUAAAAUUUUAUAUGAUUUUCGAACGUAUUUAAAUUGCUUACGUACGUUUGAGAUAUCGAAUAUUUUAUUAGGUUCGAUCAUCUCUAUGACUCGCGCCUAUAAUUUUUUCAUU